Molecule: long non-coding RNA, 2008 nt
Filed under: Physcomitrium patens
Lineage: Eukaryota; Viridiplantae; Streptophyta; Bryopsida; Funariales; Funariaceae
Description: long non-coding RNA (PPAT_LNC005512)
Source: RNAcentral
AAAAUCCCUUUGUUCUUCAAUUGAAUCAUAGUUGCUUUACACCAAUUUUAUUUUUCACAAUUCUUUAAUAGUGAAUAAGCUUUGUUUAAUGUAACAAAUAACUCUCUCAAUAAUAGCUCAUAAUAAAACCCUUCUUUAUUAAAAAUCAUCAAGUAGUCAUAUACCUCCAUGAUACAUUCAAUAUUCUUAUAUAGAUUUUUACAUUGAUUUUUGUUCAAUAUAUCUUUUUUCUUUAAGAAAUCCUUCAAUGCUUCAACAUAGGCUUGACAUUUUCUCCAAAUAUCUUCACCAAUACCAUCUAUGUUUAAUAUUGUGUCAACAUCUUGCAAAUAAUCAUUUGAUUGUUCCAUGUUGACUAAAUACUUUUUUUUCUAAAUACAUGGUAAAGACCUUUGUAACAUAAAAUAUUUCUUAAUCAACUUCAAAAGAUAUGCCAUGGUGACUUAUAUACAAAUAUUCUAAUUUCUCUAUCACUACACAUUCACAAUUGUACAUAAGAUUUAAUUUGUUCAUUAAAAUACUACUUCCAUACUCACUUAUCUACAUUAAUAUACCAUCCAUAUACUUUAAUAUCCUACAUAGUAUUUCUAUCAAUCUAAGAACAUACUUAUGAUCCUAAACAAUCUUGAAAUUGCUACCCAAUCCUAAUAUUACAUGUAAUUAAGGAUCAACAUCUCUACCAAAUUCCACAUUCUAAUUUAUUUUUUAAUUAUCAUUUGUCUAAUAAAUAUCAUCUUCUUUCUAAUUCAUCCAACUCUAUGACACACCCUACAAAUACUAACCAAUUUUAACCCUAAAUAAAUAAACCAAAAAAACAACCACAAUCACAAACCAAGUCACUUUACCAACUCACACACACAAAAUUUAAAACUAACUUUUUUCUCAUUUCUUUUAUUGGCACCAUCCUCUCACCUAACUCUCCACCUUGUCAGUCAAUGUAGAUGCAAACCCUAUUUGCUUGAAGUCCUUCCUUCAAUCCACCAACCCCUCCAACCACCUCCGUACUCCAAUCUCUACAAUCUUUAGCUUGUUGAAACCACUAUUUAAGCGGCUUCAGCAACAAAAGCUUCCACAUCAACCCAAAGGUUAAGCUCUUCCGAAGUAACGUGGUCCAAAUUGCCCACUCAUCACUUGAUUCGUUGCCAAGUAUUCGUCUUAGCUCUUACUUCGGGAUCCUAAACUUUUGGGAAGCUUACAUCAGGAAGCUCCUACUGUAAGAAAUUCCACCCCGAAAUUCACAAACUGAUCGAAGAAAACUCAAGGCCCCCCAACAAUGAACCGACACACAUCCGAUGGCAAAUUCUAUCUGUAUUGAGCACUCGUAAAAUACCCUAUCCCAGGCUCUGGAGAACAACUAGCGGCGUUCACAUCAAGGGCUCAGAAGGCAGUAAGCUCUCGCAUGCAGCAAUUCACGACAUUCAAAUCACAAUAUCCAACUUGUACAAUCUAUGGAUUCAGCUGAUCUAACGAGUGCAUCAGUAGUACCACUGGAAUCAUGUGAGUCGGAGCUUCCGAAUGACACAAGACCCUAAACCCUAAACCCACUGCUACCGCUCCUGCCUAGAUCUCAAAAAUUUCAAAAGCCAUUUCUCAGUCCUUGCCUACCGCCUGCUCAAUCUUCUGAUCUACCCGUCUACUCUAACCUUGCGCGAACAGAUAAAACCCCAAAACAAGAUUUCACGGCAGCGGCGUCGCCCGUCUCCUCUGCUUGAUAAAUCGGCUACCUCUCCGCCUCCUCACGAAAAAGUCUCCUGACGAAUGAGCUCCCUCGCGCCAUAGCUGUGGAAAAGGACACCCCAACUGUAGCAUAGAUGGCUCACGGAUCUCGUCCGCCGCUCUCGUGUAUCAUCAAUUCCUUUCACGGAUCUCAUCCACCGUUCUCCUGAAUCAUCGAUACCCCUCAUAGACUUCGUUGUCGUGCUUAGCUGGAUGUACAAAGAUGCGAUCUCUGAUGCCCCCGUAAAGUUUUUUUUUCUCGUGAUUGUAAGCUCAUCCUUCUCUGAAGAAG